RNAcentral lists this ribosomal RNA (864 nucleotides) under uncultured archaeon. RNAcentral describes it as "SSU rRNA". It matches the Rfam family "Archaeal small subunit ribosomal RNA", at positions 474 to 1337 of the family's 1478-position model. The record is from RNAcentral.
CACCAGCGCCCCGAGUGGCAACCGCGUUUAUUGGGCCUAAAGCGUUCGUAGCCGGUCAAGUAAAUCUUUUGUGAAAUUGUCAAGCUCAACUUGACACCGUGCAGGAGACACUGCUUGGCUAGGGACCGGGAGGAGUCAGAAGUAUUCCGGGGGGAGCGGUAAAAUGUUAUAAUCCUCGGAAGACUACCUGUGGCGAAGGCGUCUGACCAGAACGGAUUCGACGGUGAGGAACGAAAGCCAGGGGAGCAAAACGGAUUAGAUACCCGAGUAGUCCUGGCUGUAAACUCUGCGAGCAAGGUGUUGCAUAUUCUACAUGAAUAUGCAGUACCGAAACGAAGGUGUUAAGCUCGCCGCCUGGGAAGUACGGUCGCAAGACUGAAACUUAAAGGAAUUGGCGGGGGAGCACUACAAGGGGUGCGGCGUGCGGUUUAAUCUAACUCCACACAGAGAAUCUCACCAGGGGCGACGGCAGAAUGAAAGUCAUGCUGAAGACAUUACUUGACGAGCCGAGAGGUAGUGCAUGGCCGCCGUCAGCUCGUGCCGUAAGGUGUCCUGUUAAGUCAGGCAACGAGCAAGACCUGUGCCUACAAUUGCAACCGGGUCCUUUAGGACGACUGGGCACAUUGUAGGGACUGCCUCGGAAACGAGGAGGAAGGUGCAGGCUACGGUAGGUCUGUAUGCUCCGAAUCUCCUGGGCUACACGCGCGCAACAAUGGUAGGGACAAUGGGCUACAACUCCGAAAGGAGAAGUUAAUCCUCGAAACCCUACCCAAGUCCAGAUUGAGGAUUGUAACUCAUCCUCAUGACGAUGGAAUCCCUAGUAAUGGGACGUCAUCAGCGUCCCGUGAAUAUGUCCCUGCUCCU